This is a long non-coding RNA of Drosophila subpulchrella, 612 nucleotides long. RefSeq lists it as uncharacterized. Lineage: Eukaryota; Metazoa; Arthropoda; Insecta; Diptera; Drosophilidae. The record is from RefSeq and is a predicted model, not a curated record. The transcript is spliced from 8 exons.
CAGCCAACUUCACUCACUUCACUUUUUUGGAAACGUGGAACAGAACGAACAGCUUCGCUCUAAGAAAAUAACAAAGAUGUGAACCAACAAUUAUGAGGUGCUACGUACAAUCGCUGGCAGAUGUGACUUGAAACAAAAUGGAGUUGAAAUUCAACACGUGCUUUUGGGCCAAUAACUUUGAUCUUUAAUGAUUGAUUCUCCAGACCUAUGGUUAAUUAUGAUCAUAGCUGAAAUGGAGGCUUCUUGGUCCACUUAUUGAAAUGUCUUUGAAAAUAUGCUGGAUUUAAUCAUCCUAUGACAAACUUGGACAAAUUAAAAAGAUGAGAGAAAGAACAAUUGGAUAUUCUUGCUCGAUGCCCAAUUGAAGAAUUGAAGAUAAAAAGGUUUUCCAAAUCGGAAGAUUCUUCAUAUGCCUGAUGUACUCAUUUAAAUACCCACCAAGAUUUGGCUCCUUGGCAGAGAAUCUAACAAGGCAGGCUUCUGUGUCUACUAAUGAUGUCUGCGACCAACACACAAAUCAUCAAUCAGAUAAUUUAAAAUCCAAAAAGAAAACCAAACAGAAACUUAUUAAACCACACAUUGAAUAAAAACCUCAAUUUGAAAUGUUAAAAA